RNAcentral lists this non-coding RNA (27 nucleotides) under Mus musculus (house mouse). The record is from RNAcentral. Lineage: Eukaryota; Metazoa; Chordata; Mammalia; Rodentia; Muridae.
UGGGUCUCACAUUCUCAGAGCGACAGU